AGCAGCAGCCACGGUAAUACGUAGGGUGCAAGCGUUAAUCGGAAUUACUGGGCGUAAAGCGUGCGCAGGCGGUUUUGUAAGACAGAGGUGAAAUCCCCGGGCUCAACCUGGGAACUGCCUUUGUGACUGCAAGGCUAGAGUACGGCAGAGGGGGAUGGAAUUCCGCGUGUAGCAGUGAAAUGCGUAGAUAUGCGGAGGAACACCGAUGGCGAAGGCAAUCCCCUGGGCCUGUACUGACGCUCAUGCACGAAAGCGUGGGGAGCAAACAGGAUUAGAUACCCCUGUAGUCCCUGUCUCUUAUAC
Molecule: ribosomal RNA, 303 nt
Filed under: uncultured bacterium
Lineage: Bacteria
Description: partial 16S ribosomal RNA
Rfam family: Bacterial small subunit ribosomal RNA
Source: RNAcentral